GCCAGGUGUGGUGGCAUGCGCCUGUAGUCCCAGCUACUUGGAGGCUGAGGCAGGAGGAUUGCUUGAGCCUAGAGAGGCUGCAGUGAGCUGUGGUUGUGCUGCUGCACUCCAGCCUGGGCAACAGAGCGAGAUCCUGUCUCAA
This 142-nucleotide non-coding RNA is filed under the name Pan paniscus (pygmy chimpanzee). Lineage: Eukaryota; Metazoa; Chordata; Mammalia; Primates; Hominidae. The record is from Rfam by way of RNAcentral. RNAcentral also lists the same sequence under 1 other name.